RNAcentral lists this ribosomal RNA (253 nucleotides) under uncultured bacterium. RNAcentral describes it as "partial 16S ribosomal RNA". It matches the Rfam family "Bacterial small subunit ribosomal RNA", at positions 524 to 776 of the family's 1533-position model. The record is from RNAcentral.
UACGUAGGGGGCAAGCGUUGUCCGGAUUUAUUGGGCGUAAAGAGCGUGUAGGCGGCCUGGAAGGUCAGCUGUGAAAACUCGAGGCUCAACCUCGAGACGUCGGUUGAAACCACCUGGCUAGAGUCCGGAAGAGGAGUGUGGAAUUCCCGGUGUAGCGGUGGAAUGCGCAGAUAUCAGGAAGAACACCCGUGGCUAAGGCGGCUCUCUAGUACGGUACUGACGCUGAGACGCGAAAGCGUGGGGAGCGAACAGG